Molecule: ribosomal RNA, 845 nt
Filed under: Wirthiotrema desquamans
Lineage: Eukaryota; Fungi; Ascomycota; Lecanoromycetes; Ostropales; Graphidaceae
Description: SSU rRNA
Rfam family: Bacterial small subunit ribosomal RNA
Source: RNAcentral
UUUUGGUCAAUGGCCUAACGGCUGAACCAGCAACUUGGAGGAAUGUAUAGGGAAAGCUGGUAAAAUGUGAUGUACCUAGUAGUAUUAAUCCUUAAUUAAUAUGAGAUUAACUAAGUUAAUUAAAGUUCUAAGUGGAUAUAUGAUUAUGACAAUAUUUAUUUAUGUCUUGACCAAGUCACGUGCCAGCAGUCGCGGUAAUACGUGGAAGAUUAGUGUUAUUCAUUUUUAACAGGUUUAAAGGGUACCUAGACGGUUAAUUAAGCACUAAAAUGUACUAAUUAACUAGAGUUUAAUGUAAGAAAGAUUGAGUACGGUGAGUGUAGAGAUAAAAUUCUAUGAUACCACUUAGGAACUGGUAAAGGCGAAGGCAACUUUUUAUGUAAAAACUGACGUUAAGGGACGAAGGCUCGUAUCAAAUAACAGGAUUAGAUACCCUAGUAUUGUGGGCAGACAAUGAUGAGUGUCAUAUGCAAGAAAGGUUUUGUGUAUAAAUGAAAGUGUAAGCACUCCACCUCAAGAGUAACGUGGCAACAUGGGAACUGAAAUCAUUAGACCGUUUCUGAAACUCGUAGUGAAGUAUGUUGUUUAAUUUGACACCACACAAAUAACCUUACCACAACUUGUAUAACUAUUAAUAAUGUAGCUACAAGCGUUGCACGGCUGUCUUCAGUCAAUGUUGUGAAACUGUGGUUAGAUCCAUUAAAUUGACGUAAACCCUUACUUUAUUUUAAAUAAAGUAGUUCGCCGCUAUAUUGGUAGUGAUAUAUGGGACUAAGACAAGUCAUCAUGACCUGAACGUUGUGGGCGACAGACGUGCCACAUUACCCUUAACAAAAAGAUGCAAA